GCGCCCCCCGGCUGUGCCUGGGAAGGGCUGGGCAGGGGGUCCUGGCAUCGGUGCCCUGAGAGCACCCAGCCCCGACCAGGGGUUUCUCCUAAUGCUGGCACAGGUGUUGCUGCAGAAGGGGGGGGGUCUCCCCGGGGCCGGCCUGCCUGCCUGCAGGACAAGCCCCCCGGCAGACACCGGCCCCCGUGGAGCUGGGCCACGCUGUGAGCCGGGGGCUGGCAGAGCCUCGCAGUGGAGCUGGGGAUGGUGCAUGCGGCGGGUGAGCCAUGGGGCUGUGGACCCUGGCACGGGGGUGAGGGUGUGCAGGCGUCUGGUACCAGGGGUCCGGGUGUCCCCCUGGCCCCCUGCUCCCAGCCAUGUCCAGGGAUGCCUGGCUACCGGGGGGCCGGGGACUGGAACUGGCUUUUGCAGUUAAAAUGGAGGCACCGGUGGAGACCUGCCCGCUCCGCAGCCUGGAGAAAUGCCUGGAGGAGCUAGUGGUGAGGGGCUCUGGCCAUCCUGCCGCCCCCAGCCCCUCAGCAAGCAGCUCCCGUGCCCCUGGGGAGAGGCAGCGGGGAUUGCCCAGCGGUCACCAAUCUCUGCCUGGGAGACGCUUGCUCAGAGGUGCGGCACGGCACAGUGUCAUGCCCAUGACAUGGCAUGGCACGGCAUUGUACCAUGCAGCAUGGCAAGGCAUGGCAUGCGAUUGAGUGCAUGCCAUGGCACAGUGUGGUACCAUGCACAUACCACAGUCCACCAUGGUAUGGCAUAGCAUGGCAAGGCAUGGUACCUUCUUGCAGCAUGGCAUGGCAUGGCGUGGCAUGGCAUGGCACGGCAGGGCUGGGUGCUGGUCUCCAGUCUCUGCGGAGGCAGCAGGAGGGAGCUGCCGGACCCCGUGCUCACUGGCGCUGGGGCUUGGGUACCACCCUGUGUCCCUCGUGGGUGGGUGCCAGGGAUGUGCUCUGCACCCUGGGGUGGCGAGAGGACUUAGGAUGCCGGUGCCAAGCCUGCCAAGCUGAGGCGAGUGCCAGACACACAGCGCUUGGCACUCGCUGCAGCUCCUGGGCUGUGCCAGGGGGUCUCGGGCGUAAGGGUGGGAUGAGCCAGGUCUUGUCAGCUCUUGCUCUGAGUGUGACCUGCAGGCCUGGGCACCCCUCCUGGCUCAUCGCUAGCCAAGUCAUCGGCAGCCCCUGCCCGCUGUUGCCCACAAUCUGGGGAUGGUGCCGGGCACCCCGGCUCUCUGAGCGGCAUCUCCUUCGCCAGCAGUGCCACCAGGGAGCCAGCAGCCCAGGCCGUAGCCUGGGGCUGGGAUGGUGGGCUGUGCCACAGCCCCACGCUGCCAGCUGCUGGGACAGUGGGGCAGAGCCCCCUGCAAGGGCUGCUCGACUGCCUGCGGGAGAUCGCCACCCCCAAGCCCAUCCCAGCCUGGCCGGUGGCUGCUGGCAGAAGACGGGGGGCUGCGGUGCCAGGCACUGGGGGCUGCGGUGUCUCCACAGCAGGUGGGUGGCACAAGGGGUGGGGUGAGGGGCUCGGCGGUGCUUGCAGCCCCUCUCCUGCCAGGGGGUUGGUGUGGGGGGCGAGGGCCCCCGGGGUGGGAGAAGGGGCUGAAACCCUGGGGUGGAGGGAACGGCUGUGCCCGGGUGCGCGGUGCAGAGCAGAGCGAUGGU
Accipiter nisus (Eurasian sparrowhawk) is the source of this 1646-nucleotide long non-coding RNA. Lineage: Eukaryota; Metazoa; Chordata; Aves; Accipitriformes; Accipitridae. The record is from Ensembl.